CUCACUGUGAUAAACUGGAGCACCCCAAGA
RNAcentral lists this non-coding RNA (30 nucleotides) under Mus musculus (house mouse). The record is from RNAcentral. Lineage: Eukaryota; Metazoa; Chordata; Mammalia; Rodentia; Muridae.